AUUCCAGCUCCAAUAGCGUAUAUUAAAGUUGUUGCAGUUAAAAAGCUCGUAGUUGGAUUUCUGUUUCUAGUGUCCGGUCCGUCAAAUUGAUGUGUACUAGUGACGUUGGAUUCAUCUUUUGUGGGGCUGUAUGCUGGCAUUAAUUUGUUGGUGUAUUGGGCUCGCAUCGUUUACUGUGAAAAAAUUAGAGUGUUUAAAGCAGGCGUUCGCUUCUGAAUACAUUAGCAUGGAAUAAUAAGAUAUGACUUGUGUGGUCUAUUUUGUUGGUUUGCACACGCGAGUAAUGAUUAAUAGGGACAGUUGGGGGUAUGCAUAUUUCAGCGUCAGAGGUGAAAUUCUUGGAUCGCUGAAAGAUGAGCUUAGGCGAAAGCAUUUACCAUGGAUGUUUUCAUCG
This 394-nucleotide ribosomal RNA is filed under the name Olpidiopsidales sp. RNAcentral describes it as "partial small subunit ribosomal RNA". It matches the Rfam family "Eukaryotic small subunit ribosomal RNA", at positions 582 to 975 of the family's 1831-position model. Lineage: Eukaryota; Oomycota; Olpidiopsidales. The record is from RNAcentral.